Non-coding RNA from Macrostomum lignano, 73 nucleotides. Lineage: Eukaryota; Metazoa; Platyhelminthes; Macrostomidae. The record is from Rfam.
GGUUCGGUGGUGUAGUGGUUAUCACAUCUGUCUCACACACAGAAGGUCCCCGGUUCGAGCCCGGGCCGAACCA